AAAAUGACUCUCGGCAACGGAUAUCCCGGCUCUCGCAUCGAUGAAGAACGUAGCGAAAUGCGAUACUUGGUGUGAAUUGCAGAAUCCCGUGAACCAUCGAGUCUUUGAACGCAAGUUGCGCCCGAAGCCAUUAGGCCUAGGGCACGUCUGCCUGGGUGUCACGC
Molecule: ribosomal RNA, 164 nt
Filed under: Daucus decipiens
Lineage: Eukaryota; Viridiplantae; Streptophyta; Magnoliopsida; Apiales; Apiaceae
Also listed under: 3 other names
Description: 5.8S ribosomal RNA
Rfam family: 5.8S ribosomal RNA
About the family: 5.8S ribosomal RNA (5.8S rRNA) is a component of the large subunit of the eukaryotic ribosome. It is transcribed by RNA polymerase I as part of the 45S precursor that also contains 18S and 28S rRNA. Functionally, it is thought that 5.8S rRNA may be involved in ribosome translocation.
Source: RNAcentral